This is a small nucleolar RNA of Lathyrus oleraceus (garden pea), 107 nucleotides long. Lineage: Eukaryota; Viridiplantae; Streptophyta; Magnoliopsida; Fabales; Fabaceae. The record is from RefSeq and is a predicted model, not a curated record.
AUCCCAUGGUGAUGACAUUUCUUUAACAUCUCCUUCAAUAUUUCCCAAGCAUCAAACAAAUACUCAUAAUCUCCUUGUCUAAAUGAAGUAAUGUCAUUCUUCAUAUU